UUUCGCAAUGCCCGAAAGGGUGACGAAGCGACGCCGCGUGGGUGAGGAAGGCCUUCGGGUUGUAAAGCCCUGUCAGGAGUUAAGAAAUGUAAGUGCGCUAAUAUCGCAUUUAUUUGACAAAGGCUCCAAAGGAAGCCACGGCUAACUCUGUGCCAGCAGCCGCGGUAGUACAGAGGUGGCAAGCGUUGUUCGGAAUUAUUGGGCGUAAAGAGCACGUAGGUGGGUUUGUAAGUCAGAUGUGAAAGCCUUCUGUUCAACGGAAGAAUUGCAUCUGAAACUGCAAGUCUUGAGUGUAGGAGGGGAGAAUGGAACUUCUGGUGGAGCGGUGAAAUGCGUAGAUAUCAGAAGGAACGCCGGCGGCGAAAGCGAUUCUCUGGCCUAUUACUGACACUCAGUGUGCGAAAGCUAGGGGAGCAAACGGGAUUAGAUACCCCGGUAGUCCUAGCUGUAAACGAUGGGCACUAAGUAGAGGGGUUUU
RNAcentral lists this ribosomal RNA (478 nucleotides) under uncultured bacterium. RNAcentral describes it as "bacterial SSU rRNA". It matches the Rfam family "Bacterial small subunit ribosomal RNA", at positions 364 to 832 of the family's 1533-position model. The record is from RNAcentral.